UUCGAUGGCAUUGAGAAGGUGAAUCACAGUAACUAACUCAACGCAAGGAGUGCAAACACUUCAAGUGCUUCAGAAGUGUGAGCAAAGAGCAGGCGAAGACUAGUAACCAGCUCGAUGCAUGGAGUACAACCUCGAGGAGGCGGGCGAAGUCAAGUAAUCUUUGCCUUCUCAACUCUUAAGAGAAUGGGCAAAACCGAGUACCCCAAUUCUCUUAUCUAUCCAGCAGAGGAGCUCUGCACAAGUUCAAAGACCCUUCGAAGAUAAUGGAAGACAAUAGUUGUCAAAUCUUCACCAACGGUGAUCAGUGCUACUGAGAGUAGAUUGUUCGCUUCAUUUCCCAACGAAAUGCCAAUCGAAGGCGGAAGUGAUGCGAACCUACUUGGAUGUGACAACUAAGCGAAAGAAGAGUUAAUGAGCAAAUGUUGUGGAGGAAGGACCCAAAACUUCAGAAGUUUGUGAGACGAUGCUCGUUAAAGCUCCAACAAGCAUCCACCCAAUUCAAGCAACAUGAGGCAUUUGAGAGACUAGCGUAGUAAGAAUGGUCUUUUCCUUCAUUUGGGGGAUCCGCAGGAAUCAACAAGGAUCAACACAACUCAGCCAACCCCACACCAGAGUCAGAGUCAUUGGUGAGUUGAAGCAACAUGGCGGAUCAAAAGGUUCGACUACUCAAAAACAGCAGCGGGGAGCAGCUAGGAGCCAAGGUGCAUUGUAGCUGGAGCAGAAGAUUGAAGACUCAGCAAAAGCGAGGGGUUGCAGUGUCGACAAAGGCUUCAAUGAGGACGUCGAAGGAAUAAGUGGGGGAGAAUGUCACGGACAAACUUCUAAACAGGAU
Molecule: long non-coding RNA, 832 nt
Filed under: Musa acuminata (dwarf banana)
Lineage: Eukaryota; Viridiplantae; Streptophyta; Magnoliopsida; Zingiberales; Musaceae
Description: long non-coding RNA (MACU_LNC006603)
Source: RNAcentral